CACGGCCCGGCCCCGCCCGCCGCGGCCGCCGGGACGGUUCCCAUGGCAACGCGGCCGCCGCCGCCGGGGCACAAAGGGAAGCGCGUCCCCUCCCGCGGGGCUCUCGGCUCCCAUCCCCGCACACCGACGGGGCACGGGCUCGUCCCUCGGGCACCGCCGAGCCGUCCCGCACGCCUUUGCUCCUCUGAGAAGAUUCCCCGUGGAAAGCACCGCUACCCCACGGCCGGUGCUUCCUCCGCCUUGGCGGGGCUUUGCCUGCCUGAUCCGGCAGGAGAGCCAACGGUCCUGUGAAACACAUGACUUUUGAAAGCGAGGACUGUAAACUUCAGAGCUAAAAGCAUUUAAUUGAGAAGACAGCAUCGCGCCUGGUGUAACUCACUUGUACAGUUUGCAUUUUCAACCUGAAAACAGAUACUCACAACAGAGGGUAGCGAGUACUCGGCAGACCCUCCCAGCACACGCAGGAUAACCAGACCCACCUCUCUUGGCUGUACAGAAGUUCCUCACUCACAGGUACUUCUCUCAGAUGCAAACUGCGUGCUGAGAAUUCAAAUCCAGCCUGAGCACAAUCCACACAAGUUUAAUCUACUACAGCUGUAGAAAUUCACAACCUUCAGCUGAAGGCUUCGGAGACCUCAGCCAGGGCAAGCAGGCUUUGCAGGUGUUUUUAUGAACAUCACAGAGCCUGUCCCACCUUCGCUUGGGGCACCGUGGUGGCUUCUGCAGCGGGUGCGCAGUGAGAAGCCUGCCUUCAAGACAAGAUUUUUGGCAGAGGACAGCCUGAAGGAAGAAGAGUGUGUACACAGGCUGCAUCCACAGUUGCUGCAAUUAAUGGUUCCAGUUCUGUGAAUGCAGCUCAGGGUCAGCAAGUACAUAAAAUACAUUUUCUUUCAACAAGACAACUAAAACAAAGAUCUGUCUGAAAAACAUGUGGUUUAUGCAGCUAGCUGUUUUCAUGCUCAGUGUUCUACCUAAUCUUUUUUGUAGACAACAAAAGGACAAGAUAGUGUGGGAGUUUUCAGUAUCUUUAAAUCUGGUUUAAGACAAGAAAAACAUGCAGGUUUUUUGUCUGUCAAAUAUUUCAAAAUAUAGGUUUUUAUGUUGACAUACUUUGCUUAGCAUGCAAAGUUAAAAUAAAAAUAAACACUUUAUCCCAGA
This is a long non-coding RNA of Pipra filicauda (Wire-tailed manakin), 1158 nucleotides long. RefSeq lists it as uncharacterized. The record is from RefSeq and is a predicted model, not a curated record. NCBI's taxonomy places the organism in Eukaryota, Metazoa, Chordata, Aves, Passeriformes, Pipridae. The transcript is spliced from 2 exons.